AGGUGAACGAAUCCAUGGGGCUUUGAAUCAAGGACAACUCAACUCCUUCCAAUCCUGGGCUGCCUGCCUUUGACAUUAACUUGGAACAGCACAAGACCAUGCUGGAGCAUGCUGGGGAGAUCAGCAGACCAGAAGGCCUACAUGUACACUGGAAAGCCCCCAACCCAGGAAUCCCUGUACGACUUGAGGUAAACUAUUUAACCACAGGCAACUGCCUCAGCUUCCUGUUUGGUCAAGAAGUGAUAAGCAGUGAAACUUCAUCUCCAAUGGCCAAAAGCCCUGGGAAUUGUGCUGCUGUGCGCGGCCUCUCUGCCUGGUGUGAAGCAAACAGUAAUGCUUUGUUGAGCUUGCCUGAAAUGCCCAUGUGAAGAAUGACUGUUGAAUGCUUGAGAUUUAUGGAGAUAAAAAUUACAAAAUGUCUUAGCUUGAUUUACAUUGACG
This 441-nucleotide long non-coding RNA is filed under the name Homo sapiens (human). RNAcentral describes it as "HSALNT0168946". The record is from RNAcentral. Lineage: Eukaryota; Metazoa; Chordata; Mammalia; Primates; Hominidae.